Molecule: transfer RNA, 71 nt
Filed under: Marmota monax (woodchuck)
Lineage: Eukaryota; Metazoa; Chordata; Mammalia; Rodentia; Sciuridae
Description: tRNA.Ala
Rfam family: tRNA
About the family: Transfer RNA (tRNA) molecules are approximately 80 nucleotides in length. Their secondary structure includes four short double-helical elements and three loops (D, anti-codon, and T loops).
Source: RNAcentral
GGGGUUGAGGCUCAGAGGUAGAGCGCAUGCCUAGCACGCAUGAGGCACUGGGUUUGAUCCUCAGCACCACA